RNAcentral lists this unclassified non-coding RNA (221 nucleotides) under Hevea brasiliensis (rubber tree). Lineage: Eukaryota; Viridiplantae; Streptophyta; Magnoliopsida; Malpighiales; Euphorbiaceae. The record is from RNAcentral.
AUGAGGCCCCCACAGGGAAUGCAGAGCAUAGCGGCACGGGCAAACAGAGUACAGUGGAGCUAAGCCAGGAGAGGACUGAAGAACGCAAAAGAUCAUAGUGCUGGUCCCUCGCAUGUGUCCGAAAGUUUUAUCUGCCUUCUCCCCAACAUUACAAGAUGCGACCAUAUGAUGCCCGCUAUUUGCUCCCAUCAAGCCCCAUAAUGGCAGCAAAGAUUGGUCAU